CCCUUAGAUGUUCUGGGUCGCACGCGCGCUACAAUGAUGAAUUCAACGAGUUUAUAACCUUGGUUGAAAAGCCUGGGUAAUCUUUUGAACUUUCGUCGUGAUGGGGCUAGACCCUUGCAAUUAUUGGUCUCCAACGAGGAAUUCCUAGUAAACGCAAGUCAUCAGCUUGCAUUGAUUACGUCCCUGCCCUUUGUACACACCGCCCGUCGCUCCUACCGAUUGAGUGGUCCGGUGAGGCUUUGGGAUCUGAGCGGAAAGAGCGUUUCGCUGUUUCUGCCCGGAAAACUCAGUCGAACCUUAUCAUUUAGAGGAAGGAGAAGUCGUGACA
This 328-nucleotide ribosomal RNA is filed under the name uncultured eukaryote. RNAcentral describes it as "partial 18S ribosomal RNA". It matches the Rfam family "Eukaryotic small subunit ribosomal RNA", at positions 1470 to 1796 of the family's 1831-position model. The record is from RNAcentral.